This 253-nucleotide ribosomal RNA is filed under the name uncultured bacterium. Its description in RNAcentral is "partial 16S ribosomal RNA". It matches the Rfam family "Bacterial small subunit ribosomal RNA", at positions 524 to 776 of the family's 1533-position model. The record is from RNAcentral.
UACGUAGGGAGCAAGCGUUGUCCGGAAUCAUUAGGCGUAAAGCGCGCGUAGGUGGCCUCGUAAGUCCGCUGUGAAAGUCCAAGGCUCAACCUUGGAAAGCCGGUGGAUACUGUGAGGCUAGAGUACGGAAGAGGCGAGUGGAAUUCCUGGUGUAGCGGUGGAAUGCGCAGAUAUCAGGAAGAACACCCGUGGCGAAGGCGGUUCUCUGGGACGGUACUGACGCUGAGACGCGAAAGCGUGGGGAGCGAACAGG